Molecule: ribosomal RNA, 465 nt
Filed under: Vreelandella stevensii
Lineage: Bacteria; Pseudomonadati; Pseudomonadota; Gammaproteobacteria; Oceanospirillales; Halomonadaceae
Description: partial 16S ribosomal RNA
Rfam family: Bacterial small subunit ribosomal RNA
Source: RNAcentral
CCUACGGGGGGCUGCAGUGGGGAAUAUUGGACAAUGGGGGCAACCCUGAUCCAGCCAUGCCGCGUGUGUGAAGAAGGCCCUCGGGUUGUAAAGCACUUUCAGUGAGGAAGAACGCCUGGUGGUUAAUACCCAUCAGGAAAGACAUCACUCACAGAAGAAGCACCGGCUAACUCCGUGCCAGCAGCCGCGGUAAUACGGAGGGUGCGAGCGUUAAUCGGAAUUACUGGGCGUAAAGCGCGCGUAGGUGGCUUGAUAAGCCGGUUGUGAAAGCCCCGGGCUCAACCUGGGAACGGCAUCCGGAACUGUCAAGCUAGAGUGCAGGAGAGGAAGGUAGAAUUCCCGGUGGAGCGGUGAAAUGCGUAGAGAUCGGGAGGAAUACCAGUGGCGAAGGCGGCCUUCUGGACUGACACUGACACUGAGGUGCGGAAGCGUGGGUAGCAAACAGGAUUAGAUACCCGUGUAGUC